Molecule: non-coding RNA, 46 nt
Organism: Schistosoma mansoni
Lineage: Eukaryota; Metazoa; Platyhelminthes; Trematoda; Strigeidida; Schistosomatidae
Source: Rfam
GCACUGCUGAGGAGUCCCAUAAUAGGACGAAACGGCCGGCCAGUGC